GAGAAGUCCACUAAACCUUAUCAUUUAGAGGAAGGAGAAGUCGUAACAAGGUUUCCGUAGGUGAACCCGCGGAAGGAUCAUUG
Molecule: ribosomal RNA, 83 nt
Filed under: Alyssum montanum
Lineage: Eukaryota; Viridiplantae; Streptophyta; Magnoliopsida; Brassicales; Brassicaceae
Description: partial 18S ribosomal RNA
Rfam family: Eukaryotic small subunit ribosomal RNA
Source: RNAcentral